RNAcentral lists this ribosomal RNA (506 nucleotides) under uncultured bacterium. RNAcentral's name for it is "bacterial SSU rRNA". It matches the Rfam family "Bacterial small subunit ribosomal RNA", at positions 356 to 877 of the family's 1533-position model. The record is from RNAcentral.
GGGGAAUAUUGCACAAUGGGGGAAACCCUGAUGCAGCGACGCCGCGUGGAGGAAGAAGGUCUUCGGAUUGUAAACUCCUGUCCCAGGGGACGAUAAUGACGGUACCCUGGGAAGGAAGCACCGGCUAACUACGUGCCAGCAGCCGCGGUAAAACGUAGGGUGCAAGCGUUGUCCGGAAUUACUGGGUGUAAAGGGAGCGCAGGCGGAUUGGCAAGUUGGAAGUGAAAUCUAUGGGCUCAACCCAUAAAUUGCUUUCAAAACUGUCAGUCUUGAGUGGUGUAGAGGUAGGCGGAAUUCCCGGUGUAGCGGUGGAAUGCGUAGAUAUCGGGAGGAACCCCAGUGGCGAAGGCGGCCUACUGGGCACCUAACUGACGCUGAGGCUCGAAAGCAUGGGUAGCAAACAGGAUUAGAUACCCUGGUAGUCCAUGCCGUAAACGAUGAUUACUAGGUGUGGGAGGAUUGACCCCUUCCGUGCCGCCGUUAACACAAUAAGUAAUCCUCCUGUA